Molecule: ribosomal RNA, 460 nt
Filed under: uncultured bacterium
Lineage: Bacteria
Description: partial 16S ribosomal RNA
Rfam family: Bacterial small subunit ribosomal RNA
Source: RNAcentral
CCUACGGGAGGCAGCAGUGAGGAAUAUUGGUCAAUGGACGCUAGUCUGAACCAGCCAAGUAGCGUGAAGGAUGACUGCCCUAUGGGUUGUAAACUGCUUUUAUAUGGGAGUAAAUUGCAGUAUGUAUACUGCGUUGCAUGUACCUUAUGAAUCAGGAUCGGCUAACUCCGUGCCAGCAGCCGCGGUAAUACGGAGGAUCCGAGCGUUAUCCGGAUUUAUUGGGUUUAAAGGGUGCGUAGGCGGGUUGUUAAGUCAGUGGUGAAAUUUGGGGGCUCAACCGUAAAAUUGCAGUUGAUACUGGCGUCCUUGAGUACAGUAGCGGUAGGCGGAAUGUGUGGUGUAGCGGUGAAAUGCUUAGAGAUCACGCAGAACUCCGAUUGCGAAGGCAGCUUGCUGGACUGCAACUGACGCUGAGGCUCGAAAGUGUGGGUAUCAAACAGGAUUAGAUACCCCUGUAGUC